AUUUGCUCUGUGAAUUGGACUGCAGUGUAUGGCAUGUCAAAAAAAUUUCAACAUCAAAAUUUAAUCAUUUAUUUAUUGAAUAAAUAUUGUACGUCAACGUUGUGCGAUCGGUUGCUUCCCCCAGAGAUUCAGAUCAUCGUCGAAAAUGAUCUACUGGUGCUGGUGUGAGCCAAAUAAAACCAAGCUCAACGUUAUGUGAGAUAUAUUUAUAAAGAUCCAACAUAAUGAAUCUCAAUAUGAACAACAUCGUCAGGAUGGCUCAAAAAAAAUUAAAACCAAAUGCAGUACCAACUUUGUUUGGUGAUGUUUUGAUAGUUUUUUUAAGUAAAAUUCACCAAAAUACAA
Aphidius gifuensis is the source of this 345-nucleotide long non-coding RNA. RefSeq lists it as uncharacterized. Lineage: Eukaryota; Metazoa; Arthropoda; Insecta; Hymenoptera; Braconidae. The record is from RefSeq and is a predicted model, not a curated record. The transcript is spliced from 3 exons.